CUAGAAGGGCACUGGAAGGGCACUAGAAGGACCUAACGGGCAGAAGGGCACUAUAUCAGGGUACUAGAAGGGCACCAGAUGGGCAGAAGGGCACUUGAAGGACCAGACGGGCAGAAGGGGACUAUCAGGGCACCAGACGGGCAGAAGGGCACUAUCAGGGUACUAAAAGUAAAAAGAAGCAAAAGUAGACCGAGUAAAGCGCUCCCAAACUAUGGGACUGACUAAGCCGUUCUCCCCUGAAGAGCUCAAUACCAGCAUCAACACCUUAAAAAACGGUAAAGCCAUCGGACUGGACAAACAUUUUGGACCUCUAAUGAGGAAAUGGAUUCUCCAGCUGAUGAAUAGAUGCAUGCUGACAAAAACCAUCCCAAAGAUCUGGAGGAAAACCAGGAUUAUUGCCCUUCUCAAACCAGGCAAAGAUCCAGCGCAUGCAAAGAGCUUCCGCCCAAUCUCUCUGCUAUGCCACCUCUACAAGCUGUUUGAACGCUUGAUUCUCAACAGGCUUGCCCCUGUUGCUGAACCAGCCAUCAUCCCUCAACAAGCCGGAUUCCGACCUGGCAAAUCUACAACAAGCCAACUCCUGAAGCUCACUCAACACAUUGAGGAUGGAUUCCAGAAAGGACUGGUAACAGGAGCUGUCUUUGUUGAUCUGUCUGCCGCAUAUGACACUGUGAACCAUCGCCUCCUCCUUAAAAAGAUCUUGGAGCUGACAAAAGACCUGGCACUCACAGACCUCACUGAAGCCCUCCUGAAAGACAGGCGCUUCUUUGUUGUCCUGAAUAACAAGCAGAGUCGCUGGCGACAACAACGAAAUGGCCUACCUCAAGGUAGCGUGCUGGCCCCACUCCUAUAUAGCAUCUACACCAACGACCAGCCAAUGGACCAGGACACCGAGCGUUUCAUCUAUGCCGACGAUCUCUGUGUAACAUCUCAAGAGAACUCGUUUGAAGCAGUAGAAGCAAACCUCACCACAGCCCUAGAUCAGCUACUCCUCUAUUACGAGCACAACCACCUACAUGCCAACCCUGCAAAGACCCAAGUCUGCUCCUUCCAUCUUAGGAACCAUGAAGCCAACCGACCACUUAACAUCAAAUGGUCUGGAACACCACUUGAGCACUGUACCAACCCUGUCUACCUUGGAGUAACCCUGGAUCGUACCCUCACCUUUAAGGAACACAUCAAAAACACAAAAUCCAAAGUCGGUUCCCGAAACAACAUCCUACGGAAACUGACCAACUCCAAAUGGGGAGCCACAGCACACACAUUAAAAUCUACUGCCUUGGCCCUGUGCUAUUCAUCUGCGGAAUAUGCAUGUCCUGUUUGGGAGAGGUCAACCCAUGCCAAGAAACUUGACUCAGCAUUGAACAACACCUGCCGUCUGAUCACUGGCUGCUUGAAACCCACCAACACAAGCAACCUCCUCCUCCUUGCUGGCAUUGCCCCCUCUGAUAUUAGACGCAAAGUUACCAGCCGAGUCGAGAAAACAAAAUCUGCAAUCGAUGAACGCCAUCUCCUCCAUGGAUGUCACCCUCCGGCCCAACGGCUAAAGUCAAGAAGAAGCUUUCUCAGCCAUGUCCAGCCCCUAACAAAGUCUCGGGAAGAAACCAGAAUCCAACUCUGGAUGGAAAAACUUGAGAAUGACCCACCUCCAACUGGCAUGGGAAUACCCCCCACUGAAAAACUACCCCCUGGUGCAGAAGCAUCAUGGACCCAAUGGAAACUAAACCGCCUCAGAACAAGAACAGGACGAUUCGAAGAUGCUCUGGUCAGAUGGGGCUACAAGACUGGCCCAACCACCUGUGAAUGUGGAGAAGCAGACCACACAAUGGAGCACUGCCUUGUCUGCACUCUACUACCCAACCCCUGCAGCCCAAAAGACCUUGCAGUUUUCAACAACAAUGCAAAGGACUGUGUAAUGAAAUGGGAAACUGUCAUAUAAACGCUUCAGUGAAAC
Molecule: long non-coding RNA, 1954 nt
Filed under: Gadus morhua (Atlantic cod)
Lineage: Eukaryota; Metazoa; Chordata; Actinopteri; Gadiformes; Gadidae
Description: lncRNA (ENSGMOG00000029497.1)
Source: RNAcentral